Molecule: ribosomal RNA, 433 nt
Filed under: uncultured bacterium
Lineage: Bacteria
Description: partial 16S ribosomal RNA
Rfam family: Bacterial small subunit ribosomal RNA
Source: RNAcentral
AACGAACGCUGGCGGCAUGCCUAACACAUGCAAGUCGAACGAGACCUUCGGGUCUAGUGGCGCACGGGUGCGUAACGCGUGGGAAUCUGCCCUUGGGUUCGGAAUAACAGUGAGAAAUUACUGCUAAUACCGGAUUAUGUCUUCGGACCAAAGAUUUAUCGCCCAGGGAUGAGCCCGCGUAGGAUUAGCUAGUUGGUGGGGUAAUGGCCUACCAAGGCGACGAUCCUUAGCUGGUCUGAGAGGAUGAUCAGCCACACUGGGACUGAGACACGGCCCAGACUCCUACGGGAAGCAGCAGUGGGGAAUAUUGGACAAUGGGCGCAAGCCUGAUCCAGCAAUGCCGCGUGAGUGAUGAAGGCCUUAGGGUUGUAAAGCUCUUUUACCCGGGAUGAUAAUGACAGUACCGGGAGAAUAAGCUCCGGCUAACUCCGUG